This 251-nucleotide ribosomal RNA is filed under the name uncultured bacterium. RNAcentral's name for it is "partial 16S ribosomal RNA". It matches the Rfam family "Bacterial small subunit ribosomal RNA", at positions 524 to 776 of the family's 1533-position model. The record is from RNAcentral.
UACGUAGGGUGCGAGCGUUAAUCGGAAUUACUGGGCGUAAAGCGUGCGCAGGCGGCUUUGCAAGACAGAUGUGAAAUCCCCGGGCUCAACCUGAACUGCAUUUGUGACUGCAAGGCUAGAGUACGGCAGAGGGGGAUGGAAUUCCGCGUGUAGCAGUGAAAUGCGUAGAUAUGCGGAGGAACACCAAUGGCGAAGGCAAUCCCCUGGGCCUGUACUGACGCUCAUGCACGAAAGCGUGGGGAGCAAACAGG